Molecule: ribosomal RNA, 300 nt
Filed under: uncultured bacterium
Lineage: Bacteria
Description: bacterial SSU rRNA
Rfam family: Bacterial small subunit ribosomal RNA
Source: RNAcentral
GUGCUUAACACAUGCAAGUCGAACGCGCAACUCACUGUAGCAAUACAGGGGGCGGGCGCGUGGCGAACGGGUGCGUAACACGUGGGUAACCUUCCUUCUUGUGGGGAAUAACCCGUCGAAAGACGGGCUAAUACCGCAUGACAUUCCGGUGGCUUCGGCCGCCGGACUCAAAGCCGCAAGGCACAGGUAGAGGGGCCCGCGGACGAUUAGCUAGUUGGCGAGGUAACGGCUCACCAAGGCAAUGAUCGUUAGCCGGACUGAGAGGUUGGCCGGCCACACUGGAACUGAGACACGGUCCAG